CAGACCUCCGGUUUACCAGUUGUGCCGCCAGGCGCACCGCUGGGUAUCUGAGUCUGGAUUGGAUAAGCGCUGAAAGCAUCUAAGUGCGAAGCCAGCCGCAAGAUGAGAACUCCAUUGAGGGUCGUCAAAGACGAUGACGUUGAUAGGAUGCAGGUGUAAUGACAGCGAUGUCAAAGCCGAGCAUUACUAAUUGCCCGAACACUUUCUUUAG
This 211-nucleotide ribosomal RNA is filed under the name Segatella copri. RNAcentral's name for it is "partial 23S ribosomal RNA". It matches the Rfam family "Bacterial large subunit ribosomal RNA", at positions 2702 to 2925 of the family's 2925-position model. The record is from RNAcentral. Lineage: Bacteria; Pseudomonadati; Bacteroidota; Bacteroidia; Bacteroidales; Prevotellaceae.